AAGUCGUAACAAGGUUUCCGUAGGUGAACCUGCGGAAGGAUCAUUACCAAAUUUUAUAAUUACCACUUGUGAACCCGAAUUAGAGAUAUUAUGUGUAUAUGUGCGAAUUUGAUCAUUUUAUUAUGGUUAAUGAGUAUUAUAUGCGUGAUGUGUUUGAUUCAAAAAUAAAAAACUAUAUUCAUUAUUUGUCUAAAUUAUUUUAUUAAUAAAAAACAACUUUUAACAAUGGAUCUCUUGGCUCUC
This 243-nucleotide unclassified non-coding RNA is filed under the name fungal sp. RNAcentral describes it as "partial internal transcribed spacer region". The stretch from base 1 to 46 matches the Rfam family "Eukaryotic small subunit ribosomal RNA", at positions 1786 to 1831 of the family's 1831-position model. Lineage: Eukaryota; Fungi. The record is from RNAcentral.